RNAcentral lists this long non-coding RNA (249 nucleotides) under Capsella rubella. RNAcentral describes it as "long non-coding RNA (CRUB_LNC001650)". The record is from RNAcentral. Lineage: Eukaryota; Viridiplantae; Streptophyta; Magnoliopsida; Brassicales; Brassicaceae.
UUUUUUUAUGGGUUAUGACAGAUUCUAUAACAAAUUUUGAUGAAGGUUCUAUGACAGUUUUUUUUUUCCGAGUAGCGACAUAGUGAUUUUUUUUUACUUGUUACGACAAUUUUUUUUUUAGAUUAUGACAGGUUUAUUACUAUGUUAUGCGAGAGAUUUGUAUAAGGUGUAGCGACAGACAUUUUUAAGAGUAAGUGUUAAGUUUGCCAUACAAAGCCGUAAAAACAAUAUUAGGGUUUUUGGAAGUUA